AGAGAGAAAGAACAGCCGCCGAAACCAGUGCAGGCGGCUGUAGCAUCAGCCGUUGCCUUCACACUAGGUGCAGAUGCUUUCAUCGGAAACCGUUAAGGUGAGGAUAUGUAUUGUGGUGGCAGUGAGUUUGGCGGUGGCGAUGUUUAGAGGUGUUGGGGAAGACUUCUGUGGUGAGGUCUGGUACUAGGGUGGUGAUCGGAGGGUGGAUGGCCGUGGCCAUCACUUUUGGACUGACCUAGUUGAUUGGCUCAAAUGGACUGCAAGUGUGAUCCCUUGAUUUCAAUCCUCUGUUAGCUGAUUCUGGCCUCGCAUUUUCAGGAUCAAAGCUAUGGUGGACUCUACUUAAUAUUCAGAGGUAGGAGGAGCAACUCAAUAUGCUGCAACUUCAGUUGAAUCGAAUUCAAGUCUUGGGUAAAACAGCUAUGGGGGCCAGGGGUGUGAGCAAGUGGAUAUGAUGCAACUUCAGUUGGUGGGUUGAUUGUCGGGGUGAGUGAGUAAGGAGCAAAUCCUUCUGCUGGUUGAAUUGGCAAUAAAGUACUUCAUUUACCAUUAUGCAACAUCCCUUGAAGCACUCAAGGGAUGUUGUGCUUUGUUCUGCUGUUUGGAUAGCCAAGAAGGAUAUGAUGUAAGUCUUAUUUGCUGCAUAAUAGGAAUUGGGUGUUCUUAGUUAAAUUCACUUUUUUUUGGUAAUGAAGAGUGUCCCGAUGAACCAGACUAAUCUCUCCAGCCCUUUCCAUGCGUUUGCAUAAGGUAAGGUGGUCCUAAGGACAAAUCGCUGCUGAUGGGGUGUUCUUAAUUUGAAAGGAUGUAGAUUGUGUUUGAGUUGUUGCUAAUUUUUGGGUUUGAAUGGAUCGGAUAAAUUGGUGAAUUUGGAGGUUAGAGGAGCAAUCAAUGCGGUAGAGGCAUGUGCACAGAUAGAUAGCAUACAGAAGAUUGUGUACAAUUCUUCUCUAACUGCAGCCAUAUGGAGAGAGGAUAUUAGCUCAGAGAAGGAUGUAGAUGAAAAGUACAGGAAAAAGAAGGUAUAUGUGGAUCCAGUUAAAA
Molecule: long non-coding RNA, 1044 nt
Organism: Rhododendron vialii
Lineage: Eukaryota; Viridiplantae; Streptophyta; Magnoliopsida; Ericales; Ericaceae
Exons: 2
Source: RefSeq, a predicted model, not a curated record